ACCCUGGUAGUCCACGCCGUAAACGAUGAGUGCUAAGUGUUAGGGGGUUUCCGCCCCUUAGUGCUGCAGCUAACGCAUUAAGCACUCCGCCUGGGGAGUACGACCGCAAGGUUGAAACUCAAAGGAAGUGACGGGGACCCGCACAAGCGGUGGAGCAUGUGGUUUAAUUCGAAGCAACGCGAAGAACCUUACCAAAUCUUGACAUCCUUUGACCCUUCUAGAGAUAGAAGUUUCCCCUUCGGGGG
RNAcentral lists this ribosomal RNA (245 nucleotides) under Staphylococcus hominis. RNAcentral describes it as "partial 16S ribosomal RNA". It matches the Rfam family "Bacterial small subunit ribosomal RNA", at positions 784 to 1026 of the family's 1533-position model. The record is from RNAcentral. Lineage: Bacteria; Bacillati; Bacillota; Bacilli; Caryophanales; Staphylococcaceae.